GACGAACGCUGGCGGCGUGCUUAACACAUGCAAGUCGAACGGAAAGGCCCUGCUUUUGUGGGGUGCUCGAGUGGCGAACGGGUGAGUAACACGUGAGUAACCUGCCCUUGACUUUGGGAUAACUUCAGGAAACUGGGGCUAAUACCGGAUAGGAGCUCCUGCUGCAUGGUGGGCGUUGGAAAGUUUCGGCGGUUGGGGAUGGACUCGCGGCUUAUCAGCUUGUUGGUGGGGUAGUGGCUUACCAAGGCUUUGACGGGUAGCCGGCCUGAGAGGGUGACCGGCCACGUUAGGACUGAGGUACGGCCCAGACUCGAACGGGAGGCAACAGUGGAGAAUAUUACACAGUGAGCGGGAGCCUGAUGCGGCGACGCCACGUGCGGGAUGACGGCCUUCGGGUUGUAAAGCGCUGUCGCCUGAGACGAAGCGUGAGUGACGGUAAUGGGUGAAGAAGCACCGGCUAACUACGUG
This 468-nucleotide ribosomal RNA is filed under the name uncultured bacterium. Its description in RNAcentral is "partial 16S ribosomal RNA". It matches the Rfam family "Bacterial small subunit ribosomal RNA", at positions 28 to 507 of the family's 1533-position model. The record is from RNAcentral.